UUCAACUUAAAGAGGAGUUUUAAGGAGGUGGAGCAAAGCAACCGCUUGGAGCACAGUUUGAGCUCGGACUUGAGCUCGGAGGCUUUUGUGAGCAACAAGUACGCACGCUGCUGUGACCUGUGUUGACUUUGUGCCGCGCUCUCUGAGCUCUCUGACUUUUGGAUCUCUUCGCUCUGAGCGUGUCGAGGCUUCGGGGGCUCGCUUUUAUCUGUCUCCUCUCAAAGACGUGUUUUGUCAGAUGGAGCGACUCAAAGGGUUUCUGCACUGCACUUCCCUUCUUCUCUUGCUGUCUACAUUUUACUAUCUGUUAUGUAUGUUAUGCAGCGCUCUUUUGUGCGCUCUCUGAGAGGACAAAGAUAAGGCUUAUGAAAAAAGAAAGAUGGGUUAGAUGUAGGCAGGAGGGAGGGACGGGUAAGUCUUACUCAUACAGGAAGGAAGUACAGGAAAUGUCCCAUCGGGAAAACAAGUAGCGGCGUAAUUGUGAACCCUGGGCUCAUUUACUGUCUGGGUGGUCAUGAAAGCAAGGUACUGAUUUUGUGUGUAUCUCUGUGUGUCCGUGCAUGUGUGUAUUCAUGUUUCAAGUAAACACUUCUGUGAACUUGUAUGUUGAUUACACAGUGCUACUAACACUGUUCUUUGUUUAAAUCUGGAGAUUUGAGAUGGUUUUUAAAUGUUUCUCAGUGCCGAACACUGUAGAAGCAUCACGGCACUCUCACUGGGGUUAUCCUGUGUUUACAGCAGCUAUCUCUAUCAUUCUUGCUCAACCAAUCGCCACACGGUUUAAAAAAAGAGCUACGGGAAUUUGAACAAUGUUAAUGUCGUUAAGAAUAAUAAAAUAUGUCUUCAAUCUGACUCUGUUUUUAUGUAUUUUAAUAUUUUAAUGUCUUUUAAUGUGCAGUGUACUUUUGAACAAUAGAUAUAGAAGCUUAACAUCAGUGCUGGGAUUGGAGACGUCCAAACAAUAUUGGUAUUGAAUAUUGAAUUUAUAAUGGGAAAAGUGAUAAUGUAUUAUUCACCCAUUUAAGUUUAUAUGUAUCUUUAAUUUUCAAGCCGUUUGAUUAUUUUAAAUACUUAUAUACCUUGGUAACAUAAUCUAUGAGAAUGCAACUUAUCUGCAAAAUAAUAAAGCUUUAAAGUAAAGGGUACCAAAUACAGUGGAAAAAAACGAAAACAGAAUAACAUUGAAAUACUUCAAUUAAGUGCAUGCAUGUUAAAUCUGUACUAGACUAAAUGUACUCAGUACACUUGUACGGGUCCUAUUCCUCCUUUCAUCCAAUGAUGUUGAGUUUUGUAAGAUUAGUACUCUACUUCUGUGGCAUUGGUGGGGGGCAGUCAUGGCACCCUAUGCCCUCUUGCAGACACACCACUGGUCACCCCCUGGAUAAUCUGGCACUUUCUGAUCUUAGGCUGUAUUAAUAUAUAUAAUUGAAAUGGUGGUAAAGACUAACCGAGUCAAAGUCAAGUCAAAGUCAGCUUUAUAUGUACCAUAUGUACAGAUCAGACACAGGAAUUUGAAAUUGCAUUGCUCCCACAGCCCUCAGCCUACAAAAAUCAAGAGGUGCACAGCUAAAAAUGUGGCGCAAGGCAGCAGUUGUGACAUCACUUUUGGCACGGUCUGUAGUUCAGUUGUUCAGUAGUAGUAGUAGUUUACUCAGGACUGAGAUAAUGAAAAUGUUUUUUGAUUUUUGGUUCACAAAGCAAUAAAAAAAUAGUCCCUAACUCUAUGUCUUUUCCUCGCUGUCUAAAGCUUACAUGCAAAUUUCUUUCUUAUUAAAAUCCUAAGUGUUCAAUGAAUUUUAAUACUGUUUGUAGAAGCACAAGUUUCAAAUAAUACAUGGCAAGAUAUAACAUAAGACAUACACACGAGGAAAUACACUUCUGCAAUCUUCAGGAGGUUUUGCUUUAAAUCGACUUUUUAAAGCCUCUUUUUUUUUUUAUUUUAUCUGUCUGUUUUUAUGUUUCCCUACCUGUAUACCUGUUGUUUGCUUCCCCUUGUGGUGAAAGCAGGGUGGUGCAGGUGCCUGGGCUCAAUCUCCUGUGCCUACUGAGCUGAUAACAGUUAGAUGUUAACAAGCACUGGCUCAGUUCAGCAGGAACCGGAGUUAGGCCCUCUAGAAACAUCGAAUCAUCGAGCUGCAGUCUGAACCAACUGUCUAAUUACAACAGCACACGGCAGCAAUCUACAUGUGCAAUUAGCGUUUCCUAUAUACUGUACUACACAUGUAGCAUUAUAGCUGGCUUGCCUCCAACAGUAGUUGUGGGAUUUUUUUUUCUUUCCUCCUCUAAAAGUCCAUUAGACUUUUCCCACAAAUACUCAUCAAGGCCAUUCUCCAAGAAAAAGCCAGAGUGCAAUCAUCUGUUAAUGAGAGCAGAGGAAGCACAGACCCACACAUCUUCUCUUAAUUUAACUCUCGCAGUGUAAAGCUCGUGAUGGAGGAAAUCUGCUUCUGUUGGUUUGGUAUUACUAAAAAAUCACAGGAGCAGAGUUUUUCCAGCUGUAUUCAACACUUCUUAAGGUCCCAGGAAAAUUCCUUUGGAUGCGAUUUAAGCCAAGCCGUGUAUUUCAACAACUAUUUGACUUGCCUUCAAUUAGCUCCUUUUUGCUCAUAAAUCUGUGAAACAGACAGUUGCAAGUUGGCUACAUAAGCAAAGAAGUACUUAAAAAUUACAACCUUCUCACAAAAAAAGUAAAAAAGAGUACUUUCUACUUAUUUUAUUAAACCUGUUAAAUACAGCUAAUGCGAUAAUAAAGAUUAAACCCAGGUCAGGCUGUGGCAGAGCGUCUGGCAGAAUAAGUAAUACUGUUGUUACUUUUGAUAUAAGUACAUUUUGCUGGUUUCAGGGAAAUUUCCUAACUAGUUUAUAAGUGAUUACAGGAGGUUGCUGGCAGUGCUAGGUGAAACUGGUCACAAAGAGGUAAACAGUGUUGCACCAAAAAACCUCCUCGUGAUGGCUCUGGUUGGUAGCAGGUUGCCAUGGUUACCUGUAGUUUGUAUGGAAGACGCCGGCUUGCCUGCGCUCACCAACUACUUGCUGAAAUUGUGAAAAGGAAACAGAGAACAUUCGCCUUCAAAGUAAAUCUUUCAUGCAAACGUUUGCCAAUUACUUGCUGACCAGUUGUGAAACCAGAAAUGAAAAACUACUUUUACAUUAAGGGACCCAAUAUACCUGUCUUAUCACUAUGUACCAUUAAUACCAGCAGUUCAGACACGAGUACCUGCUGCAGUAUUCUCCUGAAGAAGGUUGUCACUCAGACAAAACCUCCACUUCAACGCUGCUGUAGAAGAAGUCAAAAUGGGAAGCAAGGAGGUUUUUUCUUUUAGGGUUUUUUUUUUUUUUGAGAAAGUCUCAUUUUUCAUACUGUUGCAACAUUUUCCUCUGUAUAAUCUGUGAAUCUCUGAGCUUCUGUAUAUCAUUUAUUCUGUAUGUUCUGUAUCAAUAAAAUGGUGGUAAAAAACCAA
Molecule: long non-coding RNA, 3461 nt
Organism: Oreochromis niloticus (Nile tilapia)
Lineage: Eukaryota; Metazoa; Chordata; Actinopteri; Cichliformes; Cichlidae
Exons: 2
Source: RefSeq, a predicted model, not a curated record